GUCAGCGGUUGAAAUUUUGCAGCUUACAUGUAAAAGUGCCCGUGGUUACUGCGACGCCUACGAUUUGGGUUGCUGUGGGUGGGAAUGUGUGGUGUAGCGGGUGAUAUGGUUUAGAGAUCACACAGAAUAUCGAUUGCGAAGGGCAGCUCACCACAAGCCAAGAUUGACGCUGAGGCACGAAAAGUGUGGGGAUCAAACAGGAUUAGAUAUCCCUGGUAGUCCACACUGUAAACGAUGAUAACUCGCUGUCGGCGAUAUACAGUCGGUGGCCAAGCGAAAGCGAUAAGUUAUCCACCUGGGGAGUACGACCGCAAGGUUGAAACUCAAAGGAAUUGACGGGGGCCCGCACAAGCGGAGGAACAUGUGGUUUAAUUCGAUGAUACGCGAGGAACCUUACCCGGGCUCGAACGGUGCAGGAAUAUGGUAGAGAUAUCAUAGCUAGCAAUAGUCUGUAUCGAGGUGCUGCAUGGUUGUCGUCAGCUCGUGCCGUGAGGUGUCGGCUUAAGUGCCAUAGCGAGCGCAACCCUUGUCAUUA
This 535-nucleotide ribosomal RNA is filed under the name uncultured bacterium. RNAcentral describes it as "bacterial SSU rRNA". It matches the Rfam family "Bacterial small subunit ribosomal RNA", at positions 587 to 1113 of the family's 1533-position model. The record is from RNAcentral.